UCAAACUUGGUCAUUUAGAGGAAGUAAAAGUCGUAACAAGGUCUCCGUUGGUGAACCAGCGGAGGGAUCAUUACUGAGUUGACCCUAACUCUUCAAACCCAUGUGAACUUACCACUUUGUUGCCUCGGCGGCAGAAAGGUUCAGGGGCGAGCUGCUUUCCUCCGGGGGAGUCUCUCGCUUCUGGGCUGGGCCGCCGGUGGACCACUAAACUCUGUUAUACUUGAAUCUCUGAGCAAACUAUAAUAAAUCAAAACUUUCAACAACGGAUCUCUUGGUUCUGGCAUCGAUGAAGAACGCAGC
This 300-nucleotide unclassified non-coding RNA is filed under the name uncultured fungus. Its description in RNAcentral is "partial contains small subunit ribosomal RNA, internal transcribed spacer 1, and 5.8S ribosomal RNA". The stretch from base 1 to 73 matches the Rfam family "Eukaryotic small subunit ribosomal RNA", at positions 1759 to 1831 of the family's 1831-position model. The record is from RNAcentral. Lineage: Eukaryota; Fungi.